Molecule: ribosomal RNA, 468 nt
Filed under: uncultured bacterium
Lineage: Bacteria
Description: partial 16S ribosomal RNA
Rfam family: Bacterial small subunit ribosomal RNA
Source: RNAcentral
GACGAACGCUGGCGGCGUGCUUAACACAUGCAAGUCGAACGGAAAGGCCCUGCUUUUGUGGGGUGCUCGAGUGGCGAACGGGUGAGUAACACGUGAGUAACCUGCCCUUGACUUUGGGAUAACUUCAGGAAACUGGGGCUAAUACCGGAUAGGAGCUCCUGCUGCAUGGUGGGGGUUGGAAAGUUUCGGCGGUUGGGGAUGGACUCGCGGCUUAUCAGCUUGUUGGUGGGGUAGUGGCUUACCAAGGCUUUGACGGGUAGCCGGCCUGAGAGGGUGACCGGCCACAUUGGGACUGAGGUACGGCCCAGACUCCUACGGGAGGCAGCAGGGGGGAAUAUUGCACAAUGGGCGGGAGCCUGAGGCAGCAACGCCGCGUGCGGGAUGACGGCCUUCGGGUGGUAAACCGCUUUCGCCUGUGACGAAGCGUGAGUGACGGUAAUGGGUAAAGAAGCACCGGCUAACUACGUG